GAUGAACGCUAGCGGCAGGCCUAAUACAUGCAAGUCGAACGGCCCCGACACUUCGGUGUCGGGGUAGUGGCGCACGGGUGCGUAACGCGUACACAACAUACCCUUUACAGGGGGAUAGCGGCGGGAAACUGCCAGUAAUACCCCAUGUCCUUGCGAGGUGGCAUCAUUUUGCAAAGAAAGUUCAAGCGGUAAAGGAUUGGUGUGCGUCCGAUUAGCUAGUUGGCGGGGUAACGGCCCACCAAGGCGACGAUCGGUAGGGGGUGUGAGAGCAUGGCCCCCCACACGGUACGUGAGACACGGACCCGGA
This 307-nucleotide ribosomal RNA is filed under the name uncultured bacterium. RNAcentral's name for it is "bacterial SSU rRNA". It matches the Rfam family "Bacterial small subunit ribosomal RNA", at positions 28 to 336 of the family's 1533-position model. The record is from RNAcentral.